Molecule: long non-coding RNA, 2396 nt
Filed under: Paramuricea clavata
Lineage: Eukaryota; Metazoa; Cnidaria; Anthozoa; Malacalcyonacea; Plexauridae
Rfam family: tRNA (bases 861-933)
Source: RNAcentral
CAGAACUCUGAAUUACGGAUGCUUCUUCAUCAGUAUAUUAAUUCAAAGGUAAUGUUUUUUACAACUUUGGCAAACCUGCAGUCCCUUGCGGAACUCUGACCGAUAUUUGAACAUCUCUGAUCGCUAUUUAGACAUCACUGGGAACGUCAUUUUGUUUCUUGUGAUGUUACUCUGAGUGUGUAUCCAUCCCGGGCAGUCUUGACAAAUAUGCCCGGCCACGGUGGGAAUCGAACCUACGACCUUUGGAAUACUAGCCCAAUGCUCUGCCAACAGACCUUUCCCCUUUUAAAUGAGAUUUUGAUCUAGACAAGUCUGUACAAAAAUUUCACUACAGCUUGAAAGAGCAUCGCAAAAUUAGUAUUAUUCCGAAGUUUCUUUGCAAAAUGUUGUAAAAUGCGGAUAAUAUAGCCUUGCGAAGUUUGCCGUUUUUCAGUCAUUUUGAUUACAAAUGGGAAAUUGAUAAUCAGAUGAUCAAACUGAUUAUCAAUUUCCAGUUUGUAAUGCAAAAUGACUGAAAAACGGCAAACUUCGCCAUGCUAUAUUGGCCGCAUUUUACAACAUUUCGCAACGAAACUUCGGAAUAUUACUAAUUUUGUGAUACUCUUUCAAGCUUGUCCAGGCUAGUCUAGAUCAAAAUUUUACUUAAAAGGGGAAAGGUCUACUGAGCUACACGGUCAGGUCGGUUCGAGAUGCGAUAUUUCGGAACUGAGUCUAGUUCCUUCGAUAUCAGUGUGAUCUAAUAAUCAUGAUAUUUGUCGUGUAGUGUACUACACCAACACGACAAAUAUCAUGAUUAUUAGAUUACACUGAUAUCGAAGGAACUAGACUCAGUUCCGAAAUAUCGCAUCUCGAACCGACCUGACCGCGUAGCUCAGUUGGCAGAGCAUUGGGCUAGUAUUCCAAAGGUCGUAGGGUCGAUUCCCACCGUAGCCAGGCAUAUUUUUCAAGCCUGCCCGGUGUGGAUAUACACUCAGAGUAACAUCACAAGCAUCUUAUUCACCUGAGUACACUACACCAACACGACAUCGAUGCCUGUGUGUUUACUCUGCCUGCAAACAUUCGGUCAUGUUCUCACAUUGUUUUACUCGUCAGGGCAAUUUGAAUCGUCAGAGCAAUUUUAGUGGAUAAUGCAAAGCAAAGACUGACACCUUUACUGACAUUAUUUUGCGGAAUCAAAAAUUAGUUAAAUUAUAAGCUAUAGUCUUAUACAGUAUAUUACGAUGUGAAGAUCUGGUCCUUUGUUUCAUGUUGACGGGGGUAUCUUAACCUCUAUUUGUAUUUUUGCACUUUUUGUUAAUUGUAUAUAUAUAAUUUAUAUGUUUUAUUUGAAGGUUAACCAAGAGCUUGAAAUACCUCCAACAAGGCUGAUGAAAUUUGAUGUUUCUAAAGAUUAACAAUGUAUAUACGUAUAAAUAUGUAUCAUAGAUAUCUCAGGGUGAAUAAUCAAACAAUUUGGCUGAGGCAGCUUGACUGUUCCAGAUACUUUAUUUGCACAACAUGCACAUGGCAAUGAACCCACCAUUUAUUCAAAAAUCCUCAAAACCUCAACAAAAUAAAGCGAAUUGCUACGCAGGCUAGGCAUUGAAGGUAUACCAAAUGGUUUUCGUGCAGGAUAGCGUCAUCUAUACACGCAGGUUGUUGCGAGACUUUCGUUAAAAAACACGAGCCGCAAGGGAGUAUUUCUUUACGCUUUUCAAAAGGGUAGCCUCGCUGUAGUUCGGAAGAGUGAUUUUCAUUGGCUCGAUUUGACAAUUGCUUUUGUGUUUACAACAAUGAAUUGCUUCGUUCUUUAGAAAACCCCCAUCCAAUUGGAGACGACCUUCCGAGCCACUGCGAGGCUUCCCUCCAAAAGUCGAGCAAUAUCCCGCGCGUAUUACGUGUAAGAUAUUACAUGGCGCGAAGAUAUGACUUUUGUCUUCGAGUGGUGAAAACAACAUUUUACCGAAACGAGCGCAGCGACUGAGUAAUAUUGUUUCCAACACGAGAAGAUAAAAGUCAUAUCUUCAAGCCACCGUGUAAUGUUCUAUUAUAUAGUCCCAAGCAAAACAUUGUAUAAAUAGUAAAAGUCAUGUGAUUGAUAUCUUCACUAGUGAAGAUAUGGAAAAUAUCUCGCUGUGUAGUUUUUAGUAUCUCAAUCUCUACUAUAUAAUAAAUGACGCUAUCCUGCACGAGAAACCAUUCGGUAAUUGUUUUAUGAAAAUAACUACAGUUAAACAACCUAAUGUAUUAACUCCCAGACUUAACUUGAACGAUCAAAUUGCGUGUUUCACUGUACUUAUUGUAUAUCCGUUUAUAUAUGUGUCGACGCACAAAAUCUGCCCACCUGCGUUCGUUCGCUCUGCACUCAAUAGACUGAACAUAAAGAACACGCAUACAGUAUAGUAAGAUGAAAUGGC